Anolis carolinensis (green anole) is the source of this 2586-nucleotide long non-coding RNA. RefSeq lists it as uncharacterized. The transcript has 2 exons. NCBI's taxonomy places the organism in Eukaryota, Metazoa, Chordata, Lepidosauria, Squamata, Anolidae. The record is from RefSeq and is a predicted model, not a curated record.
AGAGAGAGAGAGAGAGAGAGAGAGAGAGGCUUCUGUGCUUCACAUUCACAGGACUUUACCGAUGUAGAUCUAUCCUUGGAAUCUUUAGUUUGUCUUCUGGAGAAAUUCAUAGCCUUUCUCUUCUUAAAAUAUGUCCUUGGGAAAGACGCAUCAUUCUGUAUGAUAUUGCAAUUAUUUCUGCUCUUUUGACACUGAAAAAUGUACAUUAGGUACAACAUAUUGGUGAUUUGCCCCAAUAGAUAAUGAUAGUUUCUUCUAAGUGACUUGCUCUUUUUUAUGCAGUCUCUGAUUUAAAAUUAUCAAACACUCUCAACACUGAGUAACCUUUCAGAACAUAAAUGUAUACAUGAAUAUUAUGUUUCUGUAGAAUUAUGGCAUACAUUGUACCUUCUUGUACAAAAAUAGUAAGUAACUCUAAACUAUAUUUACCCACUGAAAUCCUUCUAUUGAUAAUAUGACAACAGAGCAAAAAAUCAAAAUCGAAACACUCAUUGAUCAAAUCAAAAGAGCAUUGCUUAAAUAAAUUGGGUUGUUCACCAAGAUGAUUACUUACUUAACAAUCUAGCUAUAUUAUUCAAAAUAAAGGAAAUAAGCUUUUUUUUAAAAAAAAAAAUCUAUGUUGAUCAGCAUUACCAAAUUACAACCCAAAAAAAAGGCUGCAGUUACUUUGAAUUGAUAUGAAUAGGCUGCCACUGGAUGGUGCUGCUGUUAUGCAAUUUUACUUCUCAUGUCUGCUUAAUGUGGUCAUUGUGAGACUAAAUGAAAAGUUAAGGUAUGCAAUACAGUGCCUACGACAAGGAAACUUGUUAUUCUUGGCCCCUAUAGCCAAAGGGAAAGAAAAAUAUUGCUACCUUUAUUCAUUCUGUGAGGCUCAAAUCAGGAUAAUAAAACAGGCUUCCUACUAGCUUUAUUUUAAAGAUAUGCCAUUCUAUACCACAGUCACAUUUCCAAUGAUGGCAUGCCUGAAAAGGGGGCAUAAACCAAGUCAGCUCUGUAAUAUCUACAUAUUCAUACGAUGUCUAAUUAUCUAUAAAGUGAUGUUGUUAUUGAAACUGUCACAUGGAAUGCCUUUCCAACAAAAAUACUUGCUUUUAAAACAGCAGGGGUUCCUUCAUUAUCUACAUAUUAGAAUUUUUUGUUAAAAAUAUUUGACACCUUUAUGCAAAUGUAGCGUAUUGCGCCAAAUAGAUAAGAAAGUAAAUAGGGUUUUUGAAAGCCUUUCACUUUAGAAAGAGAGAGAGAGAGAGAGAUGUAUACUCAGUAUACAUUUGCAUUUCAAGAUACAAGUAAUUCUAUCAAAAAUAUGCUUGCGUUUGAAGAUGCAGUUUAAUAACAGGUUAGGUGUUGAGUGCCAGAAUGCUUUUUGAAUAGGAAAAACUAAAAUUGACUCAAUUGUUCAAGGAAACUGAAGCUUACUUCAUAAUGUAAAUCCCUGUUAUGAAAUUCUGUAAAUGGGAAAAAUUCCAGUGAAGGUAAAAAAAGGUGCUCACCAGAAUUUGUAAAGAAGGCUAAUUAGCAGGAAAAAAGAAAUAGAAACAAUUUAGGUCUCAGUGCAACAAUGACAAUGGUGAGAGGAUAUUCAAUUAAAUCAGCUAUCAAUAGGGUGCCAGUUCUAAGAUGCUGGGCUGGAAGAUGGCUAUAGGUUUCACCCAGGCCCUCUCUAGCCUCCAGAUUUUCUUGAAUUAGCUGCAGUUCUGCCCUUCACUGUCUUAUCUUCUUAGUGUAUGUAGUCUAUUUCCUGCUACUUUUUUUCAUGUGGUUUUCUCAAUCUCUCCUGUUUUGUAGCUCAUACUCUUUUUCAGAAUAGCCUAAUCCAUUCACACCCCCCCCCCCCCCAAAAAUCCUUCCCAUAAAUUCCUAUGGCUGCUACUUAGGGACAAAAAAAGAUUGUGCUCCAUCUAAGUAUUAGGGCUAUAUUUUAUUCCAUAAAAGGUAGGUGUGCCCCUAUCGGUUCACUUCAUCUAAGUGUUCACUCUGUCCGGGUACAUUUGAUCUGUUUUGGAUUAGGAAUGAGUACAGGUACAAAGAUUCUGAUUAACAUCUGAACAUACUGUAUGAGUGCAUGUAUGGGGUUUUGUCCGAAUGCCCUUUCUGUCCUAUAGAAUUAGAUGGAGUCAGUUAAAGUGUUUCUUUAGUCUUGGCUGGUCCAUCAUGUAUAUCUAGACUAAAGAAUCUUUGAAAAUUUACUGGUAAGUUUAGGACACAAGAGCUCUGCAGUAUGAGUCCAAAGACCCAUGUAGUUCAGUAUUCUGUCUCCCAGAUUACGCAAUUCCACAAGUAAGACAUGCUGUUAUCCUCCAGCAGCUGGUAUCCAGAGACUUAUAGUCAUUACGAGAAGUAACUGCUGAUAGCUUUAUCCUUGUGAAUGUGUCUAAUCCACUUUUAAAGCCUGCUGUAUUUGUGGAGGUCACUACAUCUUGUUAAACUAUUCGACAAUUUAACUAGGCAAGUUUCUUGCUAUUUUUCUAUAACUUAAACUGAUGCAUGUUUUAAUAGCAUCUUGUUAUGCUACAUCAGGGGUCCCCAAACUUUUAAAGCAGAGGGCCGGUCCACAAUCCUUCAGACUGUUGAGGGGCCAAAUUAUCA